This 386-nucleotide unclassified non-coding RNA is filed under the name soil metagenome. RNAcentral describes it as "partial contains 5.8S ribosomal RNA, internal transcribed spacer 2, and large subunit ribosomal RNA". The stretch from base 1 to 120 matches the Rfam family "5.8S ribosomal RNA", at positions 35 to 154 of the family's 154-position model. The record is from RNAcentral.
GAUGAAGAACGUAGCGAAAUGCGAUAAGUAAUGUGAAUUGCAGAAUUCAGUGAAUCAUCGAAUCUUUGAACGCACCUUGCGCUCCUUGGUAUUCCGAGGAGCAUGCCUGUUUGAGUGUCAUGAAAUUCUCAACCUUUUCAGCUUUCUUUGUUGAUCAGGCUUGGAUGUGGGAGUAUGCGGGCUUCUCAGAAGUCGGCUCUCCUGAAAUGCAUUAGCGGGACCUUUGUUGCCUGGCUUUGGUGUGAUAAUUAUCUACGCCAUUGUAGUCAAGCAGCUUAAAAUGAGGUUCAGCUUCUAACCGUCUCCCCUGAGACAACUUUUUGACAAUUUGACCUCAAAUCAGGUAGGACUACCCGCUGAACUUAAGCAUAUCAAUAAGCGGAGGA